UGUGCGUAAUACUUCAUGAUCUCGAGAGAGCAAAGCCGCAAGGCGCCUUGCAGCAGCGAUAUUCCUAUCAGGUAGUUGGCGGGGUAAUGGCCCACCAAGCCGAAGACGGGUAGCCGGUAUGAGAGUACGGCCGGCCACAUCGGGACUGAGACACUGCCCGGACUCCUACGGGAGGCUGCAGUAACGAAUAUUCCGCAAUGGGCGAAAGCCUGACGGAGCAAUGCCGCGUGUGGGAUGAAGCGGUUUCGCCGUGUAAACCACUGUCAGAAGAUAGAAAAGAUGAUCAUCUUCAGAGGAAGGGGCGACUAACUCUGUGCCAGCAGUCGCGGUAAGACAGAGGCCCGAGCGUUAGUCGGAAUCACUGGGCUUAAAGGGUGCGUAGGCGGGCGCGUAAGUGCUUUGUGAAAGCCCCUGGGCUCAACCCAGGAAUUGCAGGGCAUACUGCGCGUCUCGAGGAAGCUAGAGGCCGGUAGAACGAUCGGUGGAGCGGUG
Molecule: ribosomal RNA, 492 nt
Filed under: uncultured bacterium
Lineage: Bacteria
Description: bacterial SSU rRNA
Rfam family: Bacterial small subunit ribosomal RNA
Source: RNAcentral